This 510-nucleotide long non-coding RNA is filed under the name Anas platyrhynchos platyrhynchos (common mallard). RNAcentral's name for it is "lncRNA (ENSAPLG00000021788.1)". Lineage: Eukaryota; Metazoa; Chordata; Aves; Anseriformes; Anatidae. The record is from RNAcentral.
CCCUCAUGAUAAUGUCUCUGAUAAUUUAUUUAAUGUUCUUUAUUACAUGCACACAUAUGAAAAGCCUUAUCCAAAGCUAAUGAAAAAGUGUGGUUAGGGUCUGUCUGUCUGUUUGUUUGUUUGUUUUUCUUUUUCAAUAUCUUUUUGGCCACAACUAUGGGAACACAAUGAGGUCUGUAAAGGAGUACAAAUGCUAAUGCAGGCCAUCUACCUAAGGUGCAUGCCAGGUUCAACUUGGCUCAGAAUUUUCCAGCACAUUUAAUUAAUCUGUGCUGAAGAAUCACUGAUGUUGAAGACCUCAAAUGACCCCUGAUGUUGAAGACCUCAAAUGACCCCAUCUGCCUUUUUAGGCAGUCUGUCCUGCUGUUUUCACGGUUAGAAAAUAUUGCCUAAUGUCCAUCCCCAGACUUUCUUGGUGUAGAUUUCUUUCAUGCCCUCUCUUCUUCAAACUGAUCUUAUUAUAAUGCUGGAAAGGAGGUGAGAGAAAUAAAUGAAGUGAUUUUGGAGGCA